CUUUGACCAGUUUCUCUGUUGCUAUGUUCUCCAGUUGAAGUAGCUGCCCUCCUCUCCCAUACCUGGAAUGAGCAGAAAAAGGGCAUAUUCACCAUGAGGGUAAAAAGAUGUGGGCCUUGAAGCAUACAGCUGGGCAUUUUGCUACCUGGCACAUGGAUGACUUGCAGAUGCCCUCAACUUUUUUUGAUUCAAGUAAGGCAUUAAUAACCAGACAGAUGCCGAAUCAAGAAUAUGCAAAGUUCCCUUGUUUACCCGCAUUUUCCUUGGGACCUAAGGAAA
Molecule: long non-coding RNA, 279 nt
Organism: Suricata suricatta (meerkat)
Lineage: Eukaryota; Metazoa; Chordata; Mammalia; Carnivora; Herpestidae
Exons: 3
Source: RefSeq, a predicted model, not a curated record